RNAcentral lists this ribosomal RNA (261 nucleotides) under uncultured archaeon. RNAcentral describes it as "partial 16S ribosomal RNA". It matches the Rfam family "Archaeal small subunit ribosomal RNA", at positions 748 to 1009 of the family's 1478-position model. The record is from RNAcentral.
CAGCCGUAAACUAUGCGCGUUAGGUGUAUCGGUGACCACGAGUUACCGAGGUGCCGAAGGGAAACCGUGAAACGUGCCGCCUGGGAAGUACGGUCGCAAGGCUGAAACUUAAAGGAAUUGGCGGGGGAGCACCACAACAGGUGGAGCCUGCGGUUUAAUUGGACUCAACGCCGGGAAGCUCACCGGAUAGGACAGCAGAAUGAUUGCCGGGCUGAAGACCCUGCAUGACUAGCUGAGAGGAGGUGCAUGGCGUUGACGUCU